This 262-nucleotide ribosomal RNA is filed under the name uncultured archaeon. RNAcentral describes it as "partial 16S ribosomal RNA". It matches the Rfam family "Archaeal small subunit ribosomal RNA", at positions 748 to 1008 of the family's 1478-position model. The record is from RNAcentral.
CAGCCGUAAACUAUGCGCGUUAGGUGUACUGGUGACCACGAGUCACCGGGGUGCCGAAGGGAAACUGUGAAACGUGCCGCCUGGGAAGUACGGUCGCAAGGCUGAAACUUAAAGGAAUUGGCGGGGGGAGCACCACAACGGGUGGAGCCUGCGGUUUAAUUGGACUCAACGCCGGAAAUCUCACCGGAUAGGACAGACAUAUGAUAGUCGGGCUGAAGACUCUACUUGAUGAUCUGAGAGGAGGUGCAUGGCGUCAGUGACU